RNAcentral lists this ribosomal RNA (482 nucleotides) under uncultured bacterium. RNAcentral's name for it is "partial 16S ribosomal RNA". It matches the Rfam family "Bacterial small subunit ribosomal RNA", at positions 30 to 507 of the family's 1533-position model. The record is from RNAcentral.
AUUGAACGCUGGCGGCAUGCCUUACACAUGCAAGUCGAACGGUAACGGGCCUUCGGGUGCCGCCGAGUGGCGAACGGGUGAGUAAUACAUCGGAACGUGCCCGAUCGUGGGGGUUAACGAGGCGAAAGCUUUGCUAAUACACCAUACGAUCUACGGAUGCCAGCGGGGGACCGCAAGGGCUUGCGCGGCCGGAGCGGCCGAUGGCAGAUUAGGUAGUUGGUGGGAUAAAAGCUUACCAAGCCGACGAUCUGUAGCUGGUCUGAGAGGAUGAUCAGCCACACUGGAACUGAGACACGGCCCAGACUCCUACGGGAGGCAGCAGUGGGGAAUUUUGGACAAUGGGCGCAAGCCUGAUCCAGCCAUGCCGCGUGCAGGAUGAAGGCCUUCGGGUUGUAAACUGCUUUUGUACGGAACGAAAAGCCUUCUUUUAAUACAGGAGGGUCAUGACGGUACCGUAAGAAUAAGCACCGGCUAACUACGUG